AGUGAGCGCUGGCGGUAGGCCUAACACAUGCAAGUCGAACGGCAGCACAGUAAGAGCUUGCUCUUACGGGUGGCGAGUGGCGGACGGGUGAGGAAUACAUCGGAAUUUACUUUUUCGUGGGGGAUAACGUAGGGAAACUUACGCUAAUACCGCAUACGACCUACGGGUGAAAGCAGGGGAUCUUCGGACCUUGCGCGAUUGAAUGAGCCGAUGUCGGAUUAGCUAGUUGGCGGGGUAAAGGCCCACCAAGGCGACGAUCCGUAGCUGGUCUGAGAGGAUGAUCAGCCACACUGGAACUGAGACACGGUCCAGACUCCUACGGGAGGCAGCAGUGGGGAAUAUUGGACAAUGGGCGCAAGCCUGAUCCAGCCAUACCGCGUGGGUGAAGAAGGCCUUCGGGUUGUAAAGCCCUUUUGUUGGGAAAGAAAAGCAGCAGGUUAAUACCCCGCUGUUCUGACGGUACCCAAAGAAUAAGCACCGGCUAACUUCGUG
This 492-nucleotide ribosomal RNA is filed under the name uncultured bacterium. RNAcentral's name for it is "partial 16S ribosomal RNA". It matches the Rfam family "Bacterial small subunit ribosomal RNA", at positions 29 to 507 of the family's 1533-position model. The record is from RNAcentral.